Podarcis lilfordi (Lilford's wall lizard) is the source of this 297-nucleotide non-coding RNA. NCBI's taxonomy places the organism in Eukaryota, Metazoa, Chordata, Lepidosauria, Squamata, Lacertidae. The record is from the annotation of a GenBank genome assembly.
AAAUGUGAGGGCGAUCUGGCUGCAACAUCUGUCACCCCAUUGAUCGCCAGGGUUGAUUCGGCUGAUCUGGCUGGCUAGGCGGGUGUCCCCUUCCUCCCUCACCGCUCCAUGUGUGUCCCUCCCGAAGCUGCGCACUCGGUGGAAGAGGAUGACCAUCCCAGAUAGAAGGAGUGUACCGUUCUUCGGUCAAGGGUAUACGAUAGCUGCGCUCCCCUGCUAGAACCUCCAAACAAGUCGGGUAUUCCAUUCCAAGGGCUGCUGCUUUCAGUGGUGUAGAGCAUCUCUGCACUUUAAGUA